AUUUUUAUUUUUUGUUCGUUUGCUUUAUUUUAGGAUUUCUCCUCUUGCUUUACUUUUUUCUCUCUCUUAUGUGGAAAUCUUUACCACUCCUAGACCAGAUAUUGAGUUCCCUUAAACUUUCAUUUUCUAUCUUCUACCCCCAAAUCCUGAUAUUUGAAAGUUGCUUCACACUUGUGGCAAUAUAUGCUCACAGGAUUAUUAGUAAUAUAUUAUUUCAAUAGAUAUUUGUCUUUCUAUGUAAAACACAAAGAUAAAUGGCAUUGCUAUAAAAGUGCCUAAGUCUAUAAAACAAGAAACAGUUUUUAUCCUUAAGUAAUUGAUAAUCCAGUUUUUUAAAAAAGUUUAAUUACAUCACAUAUCCUAUUAAGGUUUUAUAUAGUUCUAUUAUGAUUGAAAACUUAAGGCAAAUUGAUGGAUUUUAGGUGGGUUGUUUACUUAAUUCAGACCUGGAAGGCAGAAAUUAGACAGAAUGCAAAUCAAGGAUCACUCCAGGUAAGCAAACACACAUGUAUUGACUGCUCUGUGCAAACUGCUUGGUAUGUCUGGGCAAUACACAGUGGAAAGAAGUAUCCUCCAAAGGCUUAAACUUGUUAGACAGACAUACUCAUGAACUGAUAUUUUUAAACUUAACUCAGUGAAGUUUUACUGGCGUUUGGCACUCACUUCUAAAGAAAUGGAGAAUACAGGUGUUUAGCCAGACCUGCACAAGGUGCCUUCGAGGAAAUAUUUGUAAGCCACACGU
Long non-coding RNA from Phyllostomus discolor (pale spear-nosed bat), 742 nucleotides. RefSeq lists it as uncharacterized. The record is from RefSeq and is a predicted model, not a curated record. Lineage: Eukaryota; Metazoa; Chordata; Mammalia; Chiroptera; Phyllostomidae. The transcript is spliced from 3 exons.